CCGGUAAACGGCGGCCGUAACUAUAACGGUCCUAAGGUAGCGAAAUUCCUUGUCGGGUAAGUUCCGACCUGCACGAAUGGCGUAAUGAUGGCCAGGCUGUCUCCACCCGAGACUCAGUGAAAUUGAACUCGCUGUGAAGAUGCAGUGUACCCGCGGCAAGACGGAAAGACCCCGUGAACCUUUACUAUAGCUUGACACUGAACAUUGAGCCUUGAUGUGUAGGAUAGGUGGGAGGCUUUGAAGUGUGGACGCCAGUCUGCAUGGAGCCGACCUUGAAAUACCACCCUUUAAUGUUUGAUGUUCUAACGUUGGCCCCUGAUCGGGGUUGCGGACAGUGUCUGGUGGGUAGUUUGACUGGGGCGGUCUCCUCCUAAAGAGUAACGGAGGAGCACGAAGGUUGGCUAAUCCUGGUCGGACAUCAGGAGGUUAGUGCAAUGGCAUAAGCCAGCUUGACUGCGAGCGUGACGGCGCGAGCAGGUGCGAAAGCAGGUCAUAGUGAUCCGGUGGUUCUGAAUGGAAGGGCCAUCGCUCAACGGAUAAAAGGUACUCCGGGGAUAACAGGCUGAUACCGCCCAAGAGUUCAUAUCGACGGCGGUGUUUGGCACCUCGAUGUCGGCUCAUCACAUCCUGGGGCUGAAGUAGGUCCCAAGGGUAUGGCUGUUCGCCAUUUAAAGUGGUACGCGAGCUGGGUUUAGAACGUCGUGAGACAGUUCGGUCCCUAUCUGCCGUGGGCGCUGGAGAACUGAGGGGGGCUGCUCCUAGUACGAGAGGACCGGAGUGGACGCAUCACUGGUGUUCGGGUUGUCAUGCCAAUGGCACUGCCCGGUAGCUAAAUGCGGAAAAGAUAAGUGCUGAAAGCAUCUAAGCACGAAAC
RNAcentral lists this ribosomal RNA (874 nucleotides) under Escherichia coli. Its description in RNAcentral is "partial 23S ribosomal RNA". It matches the Rfam family "Bacterial large subunit ribosomal RNA", at positions 1920 to 2793 of the family's 2925-position model. Lineage: Bacteria; Pseudomonadati; Pseudomonadota; Gammaproteobacteria; Enterobacterales; Enterobacteriaceae. The record is from RNAcentral.